RNAcentral lists this long non-coding RNA (217 nucleotides) under Elaeis guineensis (African oil palm). Its description in RNAcentral is "long non-coding RNA (EGUI_LNC006467)". The record is from RNAcentral. Lineage: Eukaryota; Viridiplantae; Streptophyta; Magnoliopsida; Arecales; Arecaceae.
GGAGGAGAAUAAGGGGAUUCGUCCGAAAAUUGGAUGGAGGGGCGUUCGUCGGUGAAAGGAAGGAGAGACCCGCAGGAGAAGAAGGGGGAUCGCCUGAAAGUUGGAUGGAGAGGCGACUGUCAACAGAAAGGAGGAGGAAACUGGUGUAUCUUAAUUCGUGAUCGGACUCGGAUACCGGAGGCGGUGGCAUCGGUGAUGAGGAGGAAGAGGAGGGGGG